CAGCCGUAAACUAUGCUCGCUAGGUGUCAGGCAUGGCGCGACCGUGUCUGGUGCCGCAGGGAAGCCGUGAAGCGAGCCACCUGGGAAGUACGGCCGCAAGGCUGAACUUAAGGAUUGGCGGGGGAGCACAACAACGGGUGGAGCCUGCGGUUUAAUGGACUCAACGCCGGACAACUCACCGGGGACGACAGCAAUAUGUAGGCCAGGCUGAGACCUUGCCUGAAUCGCUGAGAGGAGGUGCAUGGCGUAGACGUCU
Molecule: ribosomal RNA, 256 nt
Filed under: uncultured archaeon
Lineage: Archaea
Description: partial 16S ribosomal RNA
Rfam family: Archaeal small subunit ribosomal RNA
Source: RNAcentral